CGAACAAUACGUUAUUUCAAUGAUUUUGGGUUUUUUUGAGACACCCUGUAUUAGCAAUUCGAUUUCAAUUCCCAGGGGCCUAAAAUCUUUUAUGCUUAAGAAUUGCAAAGUGAUUUCUUAGGAAAUUCCGAGGUUGCGUUUUUUUUUUAUACACCCUGUAUAUCAGAAUCUAAGUUACGUGCCUACUAAAACUACAGAAACGUGCAGCGAGACUAAUUCUUGAGCAGUCAACUGAAGUGCCUUCAAUUGUGCUUUUCCGUAAACUCAACUGGAUACCUAUUUUUAAUUUGAUCAAAAUGAGAAAAAUAUUAUUGGUAUUCAAUACUUUAAAAACAUCUUGGCCGCCGGAUCUUCGUAAAUUGUUUGUCUUUGUUCGCGACUCUCAUCUAAUUCCAACUAGAUCGUCUAUUACAGACUUAAAAGUUCCAUCAGUUAAGACUACGCAAGCAAAAUCCAAAAUUUCCUUCAGUGGUGCAAGUUUAUUUAAUUCUUUACCUUCCGAAUUAAAAGAUAUUGAAAAUCACUCAAUUUAUUCCUAUAAAAAGAAGCUCAAAACCU
Paramuricea clavata is the source of this 558-nucleotide non-coding RNA. Lineage: Eukaryota; Metazoa; Cnidaria; Anthozoa; Malacalcyonacea; Plexauridae. The record is from the annotation of a GenBank genome assembly.